Molecule: non-coding RNA, 92 nt
Organism: Mycena epipterygia
Lineage: Eukaryota; Fungi; Basidiomycota; Agaricomycetes; Agaricales; Mycenaceae
Source: the annotation of a GenBank genome assembly
CACCCGAUAGCACAAGGUGUGCGUCUGCCAAAUUUAAGGAGUACAGUUUAUAGUUUCAGCAGAAGGCCCCGGUUCGAUUCCGGGUCGGGUGA